GAUGAACGCUAGCGGCAGGCCUAAUACAUGCAAGACGAACGGUAAGUUGAGUAGCAAUACUUAGCCAAGAGUGUCGUACGGGUGCGUAACACGUAUGCAACCUACCCUAUACAGGAGGAUAGCCUAGGGAAACCUGGAUUAACCCCUUCAUAGUAUUAUUGGAUGGCAUCAUUUGAUAAUUAAAACUGAGGUGGUAUAGGAUGGGCAUGCGUCUGAUUAGUUAGUUGGCGGGUAAUGGCCCACCAAGACGAUGAUCAGUAGGGGUUCUGAGAGGAAGAUCCCCCCACACUGGCACUGAGAUACGGGCCAAGACUUCCUACGGGAGCAGCAGUAGGGAAUAUGGUCAAUGGAUGCAAGUCUGAACCAGCCAUGCCGCGUGCAGGGAACGAAGGCCUUCUGGGUUGUAAACUGC
This 412-nucleotide ribosomal RNA is filed under the name uncultured bacterium. Its description in RNAcentral is "bacterial SSU rRNA". It matches the Rfam family "Bacterial small subunit ribosomal RNA", at positions 28 to 433 of the family's 1533-position model. The record is from RNAcentral.